This 163-nucleotide ribosomal RNA is filed under the name Niabella sp. RNAcentral's name for it is "partial 23S ribosomal RNA". It matches the Rfam family "Bacterial large subunit ribosomal RNA", at positions 1 to 186 of the family's 2925-position model. Lineage: Bacteria; Pseudomonadati; Bacteroidota; Chitinophagia; Chitinophagales; Chitinophagaceae. The record is from RNAcentral.
GAUCAAGUGCCUUAAGUGCAUCUAGUGGAUGCCUUGGCGCAUGCAGGCGAUGAAGGACGUAAUACGCUGCGAUAAGCCCCGGGGAGCUGCGAAUAAGCUUUGAUCCGAGGAUUUCCGAAUGGGGAAACCCGACCAUUUAGGUCACCCGAAAGGGAGCUAACCC